This 428-nucleotide ribosomal RNA is filed under the name uncultured bacterium. Its description in RNAcentral is "partial 16S ribosomal RNA". It matches the Rfam family "Bacterial small subunit ribosomal RNA", at positions 338 to 795 of the family's 1533-position model. The record is from RNAcentral.
CCUACGGGGGGCUGCAGUCGAGGAUCUUCGGCAAUGGGGGCAACCCUGACCGAGCGAUGCCGCGUGCGCGAUGAAGGCCUUCGGGUUGUAAAGCGCGAAAAGAAAACGAGUCUAUCCUCAGUAAGCUCGGGCUAAGUUCGUGCCAGCAGCCGCGGUAAGACGAACCGAGCGAACGUUGUUCGGAAUCACUGGGCUUAAAGGGCGCGUAGGCGGGCUGUCAAGUCUGGGGUGAAAUCCCGCGGCUCAACCGUGGAACUGCCUCAGAUACUGACGGCCUCGAGGGAGAUAGGGGCGAGCGGAACUAAUGGUGGAGCGGUGAAAUGCGUUGAUAUCAUUAGGAACUCCGGUGGCGAAGGCGGCUCGCUGGAUUUUCUGACGCUGAGGCGCGAAAGCUAGGGGAGCAAACGGGAUUAGAUACCCUUGUAGUC